Camarhynchus parvulus is the source of this 4331-nucleotide long non-coding RNA. RefSeq lists it as uncharacterized. The record is from RefSeq and is a predicted model, not a curated record. The transcript is spliced from 5 exons. NCBI's taxonomy places the organism in Eukaryota, Metazoa, Chordata, Aves, Passeriformes, Thraupidae.
UGGCCCUGAGGAGCCGUGUGUGUAGAUCUGGCACAGCUUUGCUCCCUUAACUCCUGGAUCUUUGUUUUGGUGGCGACCAGGGAGAGCAGGGAGCGCUGUGCUCGCAUUUCCCUCUGGCUUUUACACACGCACACACACACACACACAAAUCCCCUUUUCCAACUUUCUGCUUUUUGCGCUUCCCUUCCAGUUUUUUCACUUCUCAGACCUACUGGCAGCAUUUGCCGAGAUCUAGAUCCCCGUCGUGGGAUCUUGGAGUUUCUGGCAGAUAUUCCUCAGGCUGGAAUCCAGACAGCUUGUCUGAGCACAGAGAAAACACUCUCCUUCACUCCUCAAAAUAUUGGGAAAAGACACUGUAUUUGCUGCUCCUAGGAUAAAAGCAUCCCUAAUGGUGAUAUCCAAAAUGCACGAGGUCUAAAACCCAGACUGCCAGAGCGAUUAAUCAGUGGAAGCCAAGGACACAGAUUCAUGUGUGACUUGCAGAAAAUCCAUGGAUGUACCCAGCUGCCUUCAAGCAGAAGUAACCCCUGGGGGGAAAGGCAGGGUCAAGAAGACAGAAUAAUGAAGAUCUUCCAUCUAUAGGGAAACAACAGAAAAUUUCUUGACCUGCUGUAAAAUCACAACCAUUGACAAUAUUACGUAACUUAGCUGGUAAAUUUAAUCUCAACACAUUUAGUUUGCUUAAGCCAGAGAAAAGUACAUUUCUCUUAGUUAAGUAGGAUCCUUAGCUGGCUGCCACAUCAACAAAAAAGGAUUUUUCAGAUCCAAGUGAGAUCAAUAAAAAACCUAACAUCUUCUGAGGAAAAGAUACUACUGCUGGUGUAACCCACAAUCCAAAUAUGAGCACAGUUCUUAGCAAUUCUACUGCAGAAUAUUUUCAGGGGAGUGGUUGCACUUCAUGACAUUCUUACAAAAAUAUGAAGAAUAUUAAUUUUUUUCCAAUGGAAAUAAAUCCUUUCUUUUCUCCUCUGUGAAACAAGACACUCCCCAUGUUUCUAUUGCUCCUGUGCUGUACAUCCACUGAGAAUGGCCUGUCAUUCUGCAAACUCUCAUGUAUUUUACAGAGUCAACAUUGCUAUUCAUCUCAUGCGACUGCAGCCAAUCUUGCCUGCCAGGUGAAACGCGAUGUUGAAACAGAGAAACCGUCUCAAAGAAACACAAGCUCUCAAAGCGUGAAUGGCUCUGUGGAUCAAAGAAGGCAUUUUGAAUUACACCUGGAAAUGAAGCAGGGAGCAGCCAAGUCCCCGGAGCACGGGUGCAGGGAUGGGAAGGAGGAGCGGUGGCAGGGCCGGCGGUCCCACCCUCGCCUGCUGAGGCUCUCGCAGGUCGGCUCUGAGCGCAUCGGAGAUGAUUGGGAGCAGCUGCAAGCUGAGCCCAGUGCAGCGCUCCCAAUACAUUCCAGAUGAUGAAUAUGAUGCAGGCUUACUGGAAGAAAAAUAUAUUUCUGAAGAGAAAAACAAUUACUUCUCAAAGCAAGACAAUGAAGCUGAACCGACGCUACGUGGGCAUAAAAUAGAACAGAACUUUUGGGCAAUGGCUUUAGCUUCUAAUAAAUCACCCACCUGGAGAUACUUUUGCAGAGUGAGCUUGGAUGUAUCAGACCCCAAAUAUUUUCAGAGGUAUAUAAAGCUGAAAAAUUAGGCAUUUAAACCUUUGUUUUUCCCCAAAGGGACAGAUACUUUGUCGUGUCAUAGACUCCGAUUUUCAUGUUAGCAGAAAGGUGCCCUUGCCAGUCCAAACAACACGUGGGCUGUCUCAUGGAAGUUAUGAAAAAAGGCUUGGAAACACCACUUGAUACAGUGGGUUUCACUGGCUGAAUCUUCAGAAGGGACUUGAAUGAAAUUUGCAAAAACAUGUCAAAAGUUAAGUGGCGAAAAUCAGCUUAAAUGCCUAAUUUUAAUUUUGUUUGUGCUCUUUGUUGUUUCAUUGUGGAGGGAGGGAAGAAGCUGUCUUUUUUCUCCCUGUCCUUUCAUUCUGCUUGGGAGAAAAUGGAUGUUGGUGAAAAGAAGAGAGCUCUGGCAGGGACUGGAAAGGGGUUGUUUAUUCUGUUUUGUUUUCUUUAGAAAGGGGCAACUCUUCUAAAACUGGUGAUGAUCCAGUUAAAGGGGGACUCCGGGUAGGGAAGAGAAAAGAAAACUAAUAAUCAGCCUCUAAAUGACAAGUUUUCUCUUGAACAAAAGAGCAACAGGAGGCAGUGCAGGCAGGGGGUCAGUGCCCAGGGGUAACGUGACCAAAACAAUGGCUGGAGAAUGUGUGUAGCUUUUGCCACUCCAGAAGCUGCUGCCCCAGUGCCUUCGCUGAGGGACUGCAAGGAUCAAACCUGAUCCGAUGCUGGGCAAGUGUGGUGCCACUUCUGGAGUCCUCCAAAGAGGAGGCAAUGACUGACUGUGGGUAACGCAAGCAGGAAUUGAAGAAUUGUGAGGGAAUCCCCCAGUUCUGAAUGACAGUGUGAUUGAACAGCCCCAGCCAAUAAGGCAGAGCCCCUACCAGCAAUGGGGCUAAAGGUGGGGUUUAAAGUGACUUCAAUUAAAGAUAGAGACUGCUCGGCAGUGUCUGUGCUUCUCUUGCACUUGGUUAAUUGCCUGUUGGGGAAAGCCAGCGGCGCUGGAUAAACUGAAACGAGAUGAUUUUAAACUGUUAUGAGUGUUCAUGCAGAAGUUCAUACUGGUUUAGACUAAAUUGGUUUUAAUUUCAAUUCAUGUAACUUCUGUGUGGACGAGGCCUAUGGAUUGCCAUUUUGCAGCAAUGGUGAAUUUAUAGCAUAUGUGCUGCAAAUGGACUAUCAUGCAAAUUCUCCUGGUAUUUGCUCCAAGUCCAGUUCCAGCUGUCGGUGGAGAUGGAGGAGCAGAAUAGACCACUCACAUGGCCUCCCAUGUAAUGCAGAUUGGAUCCAUUGUCAGUCAGAUGGACUGGUGGUGUGGGAGCAGUGUGAAGCCAGUUCUUUCACUACAUGGUGUGUAAAGCAAUGAGGCAGACAAAAGCUGGAUUUAAAUUAGGGAAUAUUUCUGCCAAAUUUCGUUCUCUGAAGCAGAAAAAUAAAACACUUAAUGUGUCUGGCAAUGUUUAUUCUGUGCACAGGGUUUUAGCUGAUCAUAAAAGAAAAGCUACAUGUGAACAUUAUCUGGCAACUUCAUCAUAUUCUGAGGAGAUGAGAGAGUAUGAUUCUACCAUGGCCUGAAAAAGUAUUAGACUGAGAAAGUGGAAACAAUUUGGCAGGAAAACAAGAUGGCAAGAGAAAAAGAAAAAAAAUAGAUUCUUUUCGAUUAGGUAGGAAUUACCAGUUAUAAUCACAGCAAAACCGUAUCUGCCACAAAGGCUCCAUUUUGAAAGUCCUUGAUGUCCUCAGUGUCCUGCUCAAUGGCCAGAGGCUUCCCACUUUGCCUUCUUGCUGCUUAUUCAAAGAAAGGCAAGGUCUGAAUGGUUGGAAAAUAUAUGUGCUGCUCAUGCAGUAACUGCAUGUGCAUGAAAAGAAAAGAAUUCCUUGCCUAUGCACCAUGGGUAUCUGUGCUGAUAAGGAGGCAGUAACUCUCAUUACAUGCAUAUUUGAAGACUUGGCCCUGAAUUCUACUGGUGAAGUAUUUUCCAUGACUUUUCCACUGUAUCUUCUUAGAGGUUUGUGCUCCAAUCAUCCAAUACCUUGACAGAAAUAGAAGAAAGUGUUAAAAAUAAUCCAAAGAAAUAAUAUGAGACCACUUUUAAUUCCAAAUGAUUGAAAGAGCAAGUAUCAGCUAAUGUGAAUGAAAACAUAGUUGUGUAUUCCAAGUAAGAAGAACGUCAAGAAUAACAACUUUGUAACUGGAUUUGGAAAAACAAACAAUUCUUUCCUUUCUUUGCAUAAUAAAUAUGGUGUGGGUAGCAAAAAAUAACAUUUUAUGAAUGCUGUAACGUGUUUUUAUUUCUACUGGUUCAAAACAGCAUUUGCUUCUUGAAAUUAAAUGGAAUCUGAUUGAGUUUUGUCCUUUCUGAGCCUUGUCUGGUACAAGGUAAUGCAUUGACUACCCUAUUGAUAUUGUAAUUUUUCUAUUAUACAUAGAAAUUCUCAUAUUGCAAGUUGCUGGGGGCCUUGAUAUUUCACAAAUUUGGGAUCAUUAAGAAUGUUUUCCAUGUCAGAGCUAUACUAAUUGUGACUGUGUUGAUGACAUCCACCAUUCUACUUAAAUUGAAAAUUGCUGCUUACUAAAGAAGUUGGACCCUGAGCUUAAGUCCUUGGUGACUGAUUUGAUUAGUCCAUUUGAGUGAGAAUAGGGCAACACAGGGGCUAUGUUAAUGGAACUUAAACAAUAGGCCAUCACUAAUCAGAGACCUCAAGGUUGAAGUGAGGUUAAUUGUUA